Molecule: ribosomal RNA, 341 nt
Filed under: uncultured Pseudomonadota bacterium
Lineage: Bacteria; Pseudomonadati; Pseudomonadota
Description: bacterial SSU rRNA
Rfam family: Bacterial small subunit ribosomal RNA
Source: RNAcentral
GAUGAACGCUGGCGGCGUGCCUAACACAUGCAAGUCGAACGGAGUUUAUAUUAUGAAGUUUUCGGAUGGAUUAAUAUAAACUUAGUGGCGGACGGGUGAGUAACGCGUGGGUAACCUGCCCUAUGGAAAGGAAUAGCCUCGGGAAACUGGGAGUAAUGCCUUAUAAUACAUUGAAGUCGCAUGGCUUUGAUGUUAAACGCUCCGGUGCCAUAGGAUGGACCCGCGUCCCAUUAGCUAGUUGGUGAGAUAACAGCCCACCAAGGCGACGAUGGGUAACCGGUCUGAGAGGGCGAACGGUCACACUGGAACUGAGACACGGUCCAGACUCCUACGGGAGGCUG